CCACGAUCUUGCAUCUCAGAGAACAGCUUUUCUGCUUCUUGUAGUCUCCCAGCUUUGCAAAAACCAUCAAUAAGAGUGCUAUAGGUAAUGGUAUUAGGAACAAUUCCCCUACGAGGCAUUUCGUCGAAAACUUCUUUUGCCUCAUGAAUCUUUUUCUGCUUGCAAUAUCCGUUAAUCAAUAUGCUACAGCUAUGAACAUUAACCAUGGAGCCCUUGGCAACCAUUAGAUCAAAAACUUGUUUCGCCUCGUCCAUUUCUCCUCGCAAACAGUGACCAUCCAUAAGGGAACUGUAUGUAAUCGUGUUAGGUUCAAUUCCUCUUUGAAUCAUAAUCUGAACCACACUUCUGGCUUGCACAACCCUCCCUUCCUUACAAAGGCCAUCAACGAGGAUAUUGAAAGUGAUAAGAUCUGGAAAGAUACCUUGACUCGCCAUUUCAUUCAACAAUCUCCAAGCUUCUUUCCACCUCCCAAUAUUGCAGACUCCUUGAAUCAAUGAGUUGUAAGUAAUAACGUCCGGAACAAUACCUCUACCAACCAUUUCCGAGAAGAGGUUCAAUGCUUCGUCAACCAGUGUAUGUUUACCCAGGCUGUCGAUGAUAGUGUUAUAGGACACUGUGUCAGGCUUGCAUCCAUAUUCUUCCAUUUUGCCAAGUAAUUGAAUAGCUGCAGUGUUGUUUUCCAUCGCGCAAAAGCCCUUGAUUAGUGUGUUGAAAGUAACUACAUCCGGCUGGCAAUGACCUCCCACCACCAUUUUGCUGAAAAGUCGCGCUGCAUCAGCCACUCGAUUUCGGAGAACAAAGCCGUGAAUUAGAGUGGCGAAGGUUGCAACAUUUGGUUGAAGACCCAAUUUGAAGAAGUGGGCCAAGACAGACAAGGCAUACUCCAUCUGGUUCAAAUGACAGUAGCAAUUGAUGGUAAUGUUGAGAGUACAAGCAUCAGAAGCGAUUCCCACGAGACCCAUUUGUCUCUUCAAAGAGAGGACUGCUGGAAAUUGUUUGAGUUUGACAAGUUGGGUCAAAAUUUUAUUGAAAGGGAUAACAGGAGGCAGAGGACGCGACUGAAUCAUUUCAUCGAACACCUUCAAGGCAUCCUGCACAUUACUCACCACUCUGUGCUUUGAGGGUCGAUUCCCUAGAUGGUUCUCUCUAGACUUGUUUGGCUUAGUGGGAAGAGAAUGAAACAAAGCAACAAGAGGAGUGAAGUGAAGAAAAGGCAUACCUCUUGUGGCUCUGCAGUAAGAACUAGAAGACGUGUUCGCCAUCAUUUUCAUCAUCUCUGGGUCUCGACUUUGGAAUGGGUAUCUAUGGGAUUCACUGAGAAAGCACAAGUCUUCAACACUCUCUGUAUCUCAAAUUUGCUUUGCUUUGCUUAUUGGUAGUUGCUAGUUGCUACACGCUUUUGCAGCUUAUGUACUAUCCUUCAGUCUUCUUCCUUCAGUUUUUCUUGUUCUUUCGUUUUUUUUUCUUUUUGACUUGGUGUUAACUCAGUUAUACAUUUCCUGAUUCACCAAUUCCAAUUUUCAAACAAAAAAAAAACACAAUUCCAUUUUGCAGGUGAUGGUUUGUUCCCUGUCGACUCUAAGUCUCUGGUAAAAGACCUUGAUGGACUCGAUUUCUUGUCGAAGUGUUUGUUGGCCUAAAUUACCAUAAGCCAAACUCUCUUCUGGUUUAUCAUGAUAUCGGUGGGUAUGGCGGCAUCUACUAUCACGAGGCCAAAAUGCCUUUGGUGACAUCCACUAUUUCUUCUCAUGAUGUCUUCUUGUGGAGGUUGGGAGAGUGUCUUCCUGAUGUGUUAUCAGUCACUCACCAUGAGUCUAUGACAGGUAACCCAGACAUCGGUCUACAUGAUGUAUGUCAGAGACGAGAUCUGUCAUGCUCAUAGGACGGUCUAUAAAGUCAUUGUUUAUGCUUGUAUGUAUAAGAUAUAGAUUGUAUCUACAAUAGUGAUCCGCAUAUGAUAAAUGGCUAAUAUUAAACCAGUGUACAUGAACCACUGUGCAUGUACAAGGUAAAUAACAUUUUUGUUCGGAAGCUGUUGUUAACUAUAACCCAUUACAUUAACCCAUGUGGUGCAAGUACAUGAACGCAGGCUAAGUUUGUUAAUUGGAACUCUUUUCUGGAUUAUAGCCACAUCGGUGUGCUAUAUUGUGAGACAAAAUGGCUUGGCAAAUUUCUUCCAACUCUAACGACCCCAACUGCAUCCACCAACACUUCAUUAACAAAAGCAGCCCUUUAUGCAUGGAACACACACCUCUUACAGUUAGCCCUUCAAAAUUAUGAGCGAACUUUGAGAAAAAUGAAUACAGGCAACCAUUGGAAACUGAACUUCCCUCAGAUAUCACACCAGCCAUGAAUUAAACUUCGAAACAAAACUUUCCUUGUUAUGCUACUUUCAACAUAUACAUUCAUCAACAUCUAAUACACACCAAGAAUAACUACAUAUACUGGCUCUCUAGAACAACCAAAACAUGUACACGAAAUGUUUAGAGCGAUACUUGAAAUACCAAAGUCGGGUAUAAACAGGCUUUGGUGGCGUUCUAUAAUGUUUUCAAUGUCUUUUUUUUGUUUUGUAAAAUGAAAAUGACAUGAAAACGUGUUCAUUAGCAUAUAUUCAAAAAUGCGGAAAAUGAUUUUCAAUUUUACACGUAAAACGUCAAAUUGAUGUUUUCACAUUUUCAUUUUCAUUUUUUAAAAAACAAAAAAGAAUAUUUUCUAAAUCUGAGACUCAAUAUAAAAAAGAGUACGUACUCUCUCUUCCAUCUCGUCACGCCGCGUCUCUCUCUCUCUUAGGUCUAGUCAAUUUCUUCUCUCAUUGAUCUCCUCUUCCAUCACCAGCAACUUUUAUCAACAAAAUUCUUUUUAUACUAAUUUCUUGUGCAUUCUUUUGUGCUUUUUAAUAUAUACAAAUGCUUUAGAGUUUAAGGAAGUUUAUCGCACAGUAGGAUCAUAUUGCUCUCAUGUAUGUACAGUAGGUCAUAUUCAUUCAAUUUGGUGAGACUUGAUUCUUGAAAUCUGUGCCGUUUGUUCUUUUGUAUUUGUUUGAACUAUAAUAUGAAGGUUUUUAUAUUAUGAAGUGGGGUUAAUAAUAUCAAGCUUGAUCUCUAUAUUUUCUGCAUUUUUGUAAGGUAGUACCAGACACAUAUAUGCCGUUUUCGUUGUUAGAAAUUCAUGCUAAACUACCAGACACAUUUUCAAUUCUUGAAAAUACAAUCUCGUUUUCUCUUUUUCAUUUCCAAAAAUCAUUUUCUGAAAAUUAUUUUUGAAAACGUUACCGGACAUGCCCUUAGAUUUUCUCUUGUAGCCACUUUAGAUUAGCUUUCCCAAACAUUUACAAUUAGCAAACUAGUAAGUGUAUCUGUGCAAAGACUGAUGCACAAGAAACUCUCACCAGCUGAAUAUGACGAUUUCAGCUUAAAGUCUGUACAUAACAUUACUCCAGAAUCCCCAUAACACUAUGCCGGAGCUUCUCCUCCAGAUAAGCACUCAUCAGCACACAUAAUCACAGUCAUAGGUAAGAAUUACACACUUAGACAUACCUUUCCAGGCAAAGAUUAACAAGUAAACUGGGUUGACCCGAAAUAUCGGAGUUAGAAUUUGAAAACCUUUUGAGUUUUCACCUUACAAACUGAUAUGAACUCAUAUUUACGGGUACCUACUUUUCCAUAAGAAAAAAUCACUCUAGGUAGUUGUCAUGGAGAAGCAAUUACUGCCUUAACCACUAAUGUACUAAACAGAAGGAAUAAUAAUGUGGUCAGUUAUGUGUCGUCUUACCCACUGAAUGAGUAUGACAGAUAUAUACUUGUUUCCCUUAAGUUUUCUCUCAGAUAACUAGGGAGAGUGGUUCAAGUAUUACCUGGCAAGAUUGCCAACUUCUGACUUCAUCAACCUCGCAAACAAACUAAUCGAAAUCAAACUAUUGUACAGAUCUGCAGACACACAAAUAAAGACAUAAAAGGCCCUUUUUAAAUGCACCUGGCUACGACAGAAUUAAUACUGCUAAGCUCCUCUGGCAAGACAUGAGUAAUAUGCAUCUUCCAAGAUAGUCCCAUAUGACAAUACAAAAGGCAAAAUGUCUGGAUCAUAUACAAAGUUACAAACUGACAUUGUAUCUUCAGUAGACGGAUAAAUUAAUAUCACACAUCCAACGGUAACGAUAACGAUCAUCAACUCAUAAUUCUAUAACUAGCAGCUUAUGAAUUAGCUAGAAUUAGUCCAUAGCAAAGGAAGUUUCUGAUAUAUGACAUAACACUGCUAGGUGAUUUACAAUUAGUCGCCAGAACCAGUUCAGAGGAAGAAAAGAAGCAGUCUGAGUAAACUCGGUAAAGAGAAGUCUCAGAGUUUACAGUUGAAAUAUUGAAACAGGUCUGCUCAAAUAGGUAACCCAUAAUGGCAUAAAGCUACAGAGUACAGACUCUCUAAUCUAAACCCAAUGAACCCUAUACAGACCUUCCAAUAAUCCAAUCUAAACCUAACCAUUUCAAAGCUCCACACACCCAAACAAAACAAAACCACAAAUUGCGCUACAUAUUGUUUUUUUUUUUUUUUGUUAAACUACAAUAACUAACCGUCUCAAAAAAAAAAAAAAAAAAAAAACAAAAAAGAAUUAAAAAGUAACUUUUAUUUGCUUGAACUGACCUUAAGUCAAAUCCAGUUAUCAUCAGAAACUGAGAUAUGUUGUAAUCGUAAUCCGGGGUAAUCCCACAUUUUCAACAAAGCUCAACAAGCUCUCUCAGCACCUGCCACAUGAACAAGAAGGGUGGCAACACUGUUUGCCUUGCCCGCCUGGAUACAUCCUUAUGCUACAAUUAGUCACAACAUAUAUUACAGAGAUUAUACAAGACAUUAAAUUUCAUCUAUCCCAUCAAUCUGAAGCAAAGCGCAAAAGUCAAAUAUAACUUUUAGAUCAGAUUAAUUCCUUUAUCAUACUCUGCUAAUUAACAUUAAUCAUACAGUUCCAUUAUUCAAUAAUAUACAAUUCCAGUCUGCAGAUGAUGAACUGCUACAACAAGAAAAAGCUACAUAGUGAUUAGAGAGCCAGGAUAACCUAGCAGUCCUGAAACAAGCUACAUUGGAUAACUGAUGCAUAUCCUGAUUCAAACAAGCUCCUGAAUCUGCUCUGAUGCAGCAUCCUCAUAAUUGGCAUUUUCGAUACUGCUAGUAUAAAACCACAACAAUACAUUACCCAUACAUACAGUAGGAGAGGUCCUCUGCAACAAACAGUUAGAAAGUGGACCAUGGAUAAUUCACUAGUUUAGGACACAGAUAUUAACUUUUUAAUUUCCUAGUGAAAUUGAAAAAUAUCUGUUUCAAAAUAUUCAUUUAACUUCGGACUGAAUCUUUAAGCCAUGCUAAUAAUACAGGAUCAACUUUAUCCUUCGACAACAAAUCAACAAUCAAUUCCAUAGUUGAUGCAUCUCCAGAGAAACCCCUCUCACACAUUUCUUCAAUAAGACUUGUAGCCCUCAAUGUCUCGUUGUUAAUGAUAAAACCUCGGAUAAUUGUGUUUUGUUCCAUCUCUCUAAGCAUCUCUUCAGCUUCAACUAAGAGGCCUCCUUUGCAAAGUCCACUGAUCAUUAUGGUAUAUGUCCUUACAUCAGGCUGAACUCCUUUUGGUGAUCUUGCAUCUCAGAGAACAGCUUUUCUGCUUCUUGUACUCUCCCCGCUUUAUAAAAACCAUCAAUUAGAGUGUUAUAAGUAACAGUAUCAGGAACAAGUCCCCCGAGAGGCAUUUCCUUGAAAAUCUUGUAAGACUUAUCGAUCUUUUUACUCUUGCAGAGGACGUCUUUGAAGCAUUUCGUCGAACACCUUAAAGGCAUCCUCAACAUACUCGCUUUGGGCUUCGAGGGUCGGUUUCCUAGAUGGGUCUCUCUAGAUUUGCUCGGCUUUGUGUGUAGAGAAUUAAAGAAAGCAACAAGAGGAGUAGUGAAGAAAAGGCAUAGCUCUUGUGGCUCGGCAGUAAGAACAAGAAGACGUUUUCGCCAUCAAUUUCAUCAUCUCUGGGUCUCGACUUUCGAAUGGGUAUGGGUCUAUGCCUCUAUGGGAUUGACUGAGAAAGCUCAAAUCUUCAACUCUUCGUAUCUCAAAGUUGCUGUCAGGGUGGAAACCCUAACUGGAAAGAACAGUUGGAACGAAAUUGCAAAACUAAAAUAAGAAGAAAAUGAAGGAAUGAAACUAAGCAAAUUGCAUGAGAUCCCUAAAUGCUGCCGAGCAGCUAAAUAUAGUUGUAGGAAGCUAUAAUAAUAAGAACUCUGAAGUGGUGGACUAGUCGAAGAUUUUUCGGCUUAUCUCAUUUUUCGAUCUUAUAUUCAUGUAUUGACCGUUUAAUUUAUAUGUAUUUAUGAGCAGAUUAUUUCUGUAAAUUUUCAGCCAUAUUAAAAAUCGUGAAGAUAUUUGUAAGUGUAACUUACCAAUUAUGAACUUGAACCGUUCAUGUUUGACAUAUUUAGUUUGUCCAUUAAUUUAAUUUAGUUUGUUACCUUGACGAUCACCGAUUAGUUGUAUCCACUUAACUUAACACGGUUAGUAACAACCUGUUUUGCUUAAUUAAGAAAACAUGUGCAAAGCACGUGCACACUAGUGACCAGGAAUCACAACCAAAGGAAAUAAUUCCUAAACAAUUCACUCUCUGGGGAAACAAGCCUGUCCUCAAGUUGCUGAGUUAAAAUCUGGUAACCUGGUACGACCGUUCGAAUACUCUCGGCCGCCUCCCAUAUUGCCUCCUUUUCAGAAGAACAGAUCCUUUGAAUUAACCAUUUGGUAACUGGUGUAUUGCCUUUCUAAAACAUCGUUAUUGCGAAGAUUGCAGUUGGCCAGAAGCCGAGAAGCGCUGAGAGAUUUCAAUUCUGAGUCAUAACAUGAUGUUGGUAACUGUUGCAUGCCUGCAUUGUCUUUCUAAAACAUCAUUAUUGCUAAGAUUGCAGCUGACCACAAACGCUGGGAGAUUUCAGUUCUGAGUCAUAACAUGGUGUUCCCUGUGUUAAUUUGUUUCUAAUUCUAAUAGUUUAUUUUGGAAUUUAUAUGUAUGUGUUCUGAUCUGCACGUUAUACGUCUGUAUACAUGCAUCUUCCUAUGAAAAUUAAUACUGGAAGUAAUCACUUUAUAACAUGCACACGUAUCCAAACUGUAUACACAAAAUUGUAACAGAGAUAGUGAUAGCAAACAAGGGAAAAAAAUGUAAAGGUGGCAAAGCCAUAAUGAUCUUUUCUUCAUGUGAAACUCAAUCUCCAGAGAAACCCCUCUCACUCAUUUCUUCAAUAAGACUUGUAGCCCUCGAUGUCUCGUUGUUAUUGAUAAAACCUCGGAUAAUUGUGUUAUAGGUGCAGCCAUUAGCAGAACAGCCUUUUUGCUCCAUUUCUCUAAACAACUUUUCUGCUUCAACUAAGAUGCCACCAUUACAAAGUCCCUUGAUCAUUAUAUUGUAUGUCCUUACAUCAGGCAGUACUCCUUUCGAUGACAAACCAGAGAAGACGUCUGUUGCAGAUUCAAUUUUCCCAGCUUUGAACAGAGCUCCAAUGAUAAUAUUGUAAGCUACAAUAUCUGGUUUCAACUUGUUCCCUUCCAUCUCUCUAAGCAAUUCAAUUGCCUCAGAAAGUUGUUGGUUGUUACAGAGGCCAUCAAGUAUAAUAUUAUAAGUUUGAACAUCUGCAAGUUGGCCACGAUCUUGCAUCUCAGAGAACAGCUUUUCUGCUUCUUGUAGUCUCCCAGCUUUGCAAAAACCAUCAAUAAGAGUGUUAUAGGUAAUGGUAUUAGGAACAAUUCCCCUACGAGGCAUUUCUUUGAAAAUCUUGUAAGACUUAUCGAUCUUUUUACUCUUGCAAAAUCCGUUAAUCAAAAUGUUAAAACUCUGAACUUCAACAAAGAAGCCCUUGCUAAGCAUUAGAUCAAAAACUUGUUUGCCUUGUCCAUCUCUCCUCGCAAACAGUAACCGUCCAUAAGUUCACUGUAUGUAAUGGUGUUAGGUUCAAUUCCUCUUUGAAUCAUAAUCCGAACCACACUUCUGGCUUGCACAACCAUCCCUUCCUUACAAAGGCCAUCAACGAGGAUAUUGAAAGUGAUAAGAUCUGGAAAGAUACCUUGACUGGCCAUUUCAUUCAACAAUCUCCAAGCUUCUUUCCACCUCCCAAUAUUGCAGACUCCUUGAAUCAAUGAGUUGUAAGUAAUAACGUCCGGAACAAUACCUCUACCAACCAUUUCCGAGAAGAGGUUCAAUGCUUCGUCAACCAGUGUAUGUUUACCCAGGCUGUCGAUGAUAGUGUUAUAGGACACUAUGUCAGGCUUGCAUCCAUAUUCUUCCAUUUUGCCAAGUAAUUGAAUAGCUGCAGUGUUGUUUUCCAUCGCGCAAAAGCCCUUGAUUAGUGUGUUGAAAGUAACUACAUCCGGCUGGCAAUGACCUCCCACCACCAUUUUGCUGAAAAGUCGCGCUGCAUCAGCCACUCGAUUUCGGAGAACAAAGCCGUGAAUUAGAGUGGCGAAGGUUGCAACAUUUGGUUGAAGACCCAAUUUGAAGAAGUGGGCCAAGACAGACAAGGCAUACUCCAUCUGGUUCAAAUGACAGUAGCAAUUGAUGGUAAUGUUGAGAGUAUAAGCAUCAGAAGCGAUUCCCACGAGACCCAUUUGUCUCUUCAAAGAGAGGACUGCUGGAAAUUGUUUGAGUUUGACAAGUUGGGUCAAAAUUUUAUUGAAAGGGAAAACAGGAGGCAGAGGACGCGACUGAAUCAUUUCAUCGAACACCUUCAAGGCAUCCUCCACAUUACUCACCCCUCUGGGCUUUGAGGGUCGAUUCCCUAUAUGGUUCUCUCUAGACUUGUUCGGCUUUGUGGGUAGAGAAUGAAACAAAGCAACAAGAGGAGUGAAGUGAAGAAAAGGCAUACCUCUUGUGGGUCUGCAGUAAGAACAAGAAGACGUGUUCGCCAUCAAUUUCAUCAUCUCUGGGUCUCGACUUUCGAAUGGGUAUGGGUCUAUGGCAUUCACUGAGAAAGCUCGAAAUCUUUUCAACUCUCUGUAUCUCAAAGUUGCUGUUAGGAUCGAAACCCUAACUGGAAAUGAAAUUGCGAAAGAAAUGAAAUAACAAGGCAAAUUGAUUCAUGAGAUCCCCAAAUGCUGCCGAGCAACUACCCUUGGACACGUGUCCAUCAUGUAGUGGCUAACCUGAAUCAUCAACCUACUUAGCUUAAACUCGAAAACAUGUGCAAAGCUCGUGCACACUAGUGAACGUAAUAAGAUCUCCUAUGUUGACCAGGAAUUACAACCAAAGGAACUUCCUAACAAUUCACCUCCGGGGAAACAAGCUUGUCCUCAAGCUGCUGAGUUAAAAAGUAAUACUCCGGGGAAUCUGGUAUGAAUACUCCGGCCUCUGUUAGGGAUCUAACCCUGAAGACUUCAGAAGAGAAAACUAAGAAAGCUAGAAAGCAAAAAUGAAAAUAAGAUUCAAUAUUCAGAUAACGUUUACACUGUAGCUGGACUCCAGCUAUAUAGUUGAAAAUAAACGACAAUACGAUAAUACGACAUGGUUUACAUAAUUGGGCCUAAGUUAGGCUUUUACAAACUCGGAUAGCUAUUAUGGGCCUGGAUGGCUUGGGCUACCUCAAAAACGCUACAGACAAAAUGCCGUAACAUUCCUUCCCCUUUCUAUAACCAUCUCCUCCACUGCCUUGCAAGAAACCUCUCACAGUCAAUGACCUUACCGUCUGCAUUGAUCAAUGAGUCUGCAAACACGCACUCGUAAGCUAGCUUAUCAUGAACACUUGUUCACCCAUAAAAGCAAAUUGGCCAAUAUCAGCGAAUUUAUACUCAUCAACAGCAACAAACAUCUCUUCCCCUGGUUGUUGAGGUAACAAGUUAAUUUUGAUAACUUUGUCUUCUUGUUGCUCCUUAUAUGUCAAGCAUCACCAACGAGAGAAGAAGGUGAGUGAUUCAGAGGUGAAACCCUCCCAAGAAUAUAAUCGACAUCACCAUCACUAAACUGAUGUAGUACAACGGCUUUGAGUACUAUUGCAAAUAACAAUAAAACUACCCGUAGACACAAGCCAUUCAAUCUGCUGACUUCCCCGUUUGGCCUCACAAUUGGUUUCAAAUUAUCAAACCACACCAUGGUACCAUUAUGAAAGUCCACUUCCCAGUCAUGGUUUAAAUGUAUAUCAGCUGUGGCUCUGACUCCAAGUUUAGCUUCCCAAGUUCUUGCAAAAUUAAAGUCAAUCAGACUAGCAAGAGCUCCAGUGUCCAGCAUAGCCUCCUCAUGCGUUGUGGCACUUCUACAAGACUGUACUCCCACAACAAGUAGCAUCAUCUGGUUAACACACUUAGGAUAAUUUUCAUAGGUGCAGCACCUUGCAACUUCAUUCAGACUCAUAGGCUGCAACCCGAAGCCGAGAUGCUCUAACAUUUUGAUGAAAAAGAGCAGAUGAUGCAUACCUUAGAACUUUCUCAUGAUUACCCACAAUACUAAUAUUUUUUAGACCUUCCAAAACAGCUACACAAUAAUCAUCCUCAAGAAGUUCCACAUGUAGAUGAUGAGCCAACAUAACCAAAUUCUCAUACAUACCCUUUUGUCUCCCAAUCAUACUCUAAAUUGAACCAAUCUCUCCUGCUAUGAGUCCAUGACCAAGAUGAAAUAUGACUCCAUUGUCAUUCACCAGUAAACUAAUAAAUGCAAUCAAGAUGAUUAUCUCAGUUUUCUUUGCAAACUCUGCCAAAGAAAGUUGAGUCCCACCCACUGAAAGAAAGAGUUCAUUUGUUGAUCUCUGAUGCUCUCUCAGAAAUAAACAUACUACUUGAGCCAAAGAAGCUGAAUGUUGCGGUGAGAAUAUAUAUAUGAUCUGACCAAUUAAAACAGAAAUAAGCAUAAAAGGCACAGUGAACAACUGCAGGACAACUCCUAUCCCCUUCUUCUCCCUAAACAUCGAUCCAAUAUGUAUCACCAUUCUGAAAAUUAUUAACCAUGCUCACACCAUUAGGAAGCAACAGUUCAGCAUUUUCCACUAAAGAAUUACAAGAUGGUUUAGUUCCUUGCUCCAAACUAUCCAUUCUGAACGACUCCAUACAUCCUGUCAUGACUACAUUCCUCUCUUCUCCAUCAGUUUCCUUUUCAAACACUUGGGAAAUCAAUUGAAUUUUCAUCAAUGUCAUUGAAGCAGUGAUGUGCCUCAGAUUUUAUUCCCCAUUAGCCAUUUCAGAAAUCAAUUCGAUAAUAGUUGAAUCUGUAGCACCUGCUAACAUGGUAGCAUCCUGGACAUUAAAGUCUAAUUUCCUGAUUCAACACUUUUGACAAUCGAUAACUCAACCAUUUAGCCAACAAAUAAUUCACAUCCCCAUUCAUUUUCUCAACCAUAUCAUCAGGAGGCCAACUUUCUUUUCCAACUUUGCACGUCAAGGAACUAGGAUUAAAGAGCUUAAUCACACCAGACAAGAAACACUCAAAGGCAUCUCUAACAUCUUGAAAAUUUAAAUUCAAAGUAGUGAAUACCUGUGACUUUGACUGUGUGUUAGAUGGAGAUAUCACCAUCUCAUUGUUAAGCUUGAGCACUUCCUUGACAGAAGAACCCAGCUCCUUUGCAUUCCCUGCAUGAGCAAGCUUGGCAUGAAUUGUUGAUUUCCAUCUCUCCCAUAUUCUCUUGGAUACCAUUUCAGAUUUCACAUACAAACUUUUCUCCACACCCGUAAGGCUGGACCGCUUAUCUUCUUUACAAGCAACACGAGACACUGCUAUGCCAUCAUCAGAUAUAAAUUUUUUAUUCAUAUUCAGCAACUUAAAAUCAAGUUUCUGAAUCACAACUUGUGCCAACACUCGGGCUGCAGCUCUUUCUAUUGAAUUGGAGUCCAAUUCAACCUCCCUUAACCGCGGAAUAUCCUCUAACCCCUGGCUGAUAUGAAUAAUGCAUUCAUCCUUGAGGUCAUUCUCAAGUGGACUACUAACAGAACCACCAACAAUGUCCCCACUAUGGAAUCCAGAUUACUCGUUUCACCUCCAUUGAUAGUACUGCUAUAGGCUAAUGAUGCAGUUCAUUGGCUUGUUUUACUUUAAGCUCAACAGACACAGAUGUAACAGAUUUAACAUCAUAGCAGCCCUUAACAUGCCUAGACUUGUCCUCUAGUUCAUCCAUAAAAUGAACAGUUUUCUCAAUUCCCUUCUUGACUAAGGCGUGAUUUGCACCAGAAAUGACAGUCUCAGGCUAAUUAAACUCUCUUCCAUCCGCACUACUCACAUCCAUCCUCUCUUCAAUAUUCUCUCCAUUCCCAUGAAUGAAAUUGGCAUCAAUACUACUUAACUCAGUGCCAAAUUUAGAACCCACACCAUCACAAUCAUGAUUCAAACAGAAAUGUUGAAAAAUAUUUAAAUAAUAUAUUCAGUUAACUUCGGAAUCUUUAAGCCAUGCUAAUAAUACAGGAUCUACUGUAUCCUUCGACAACAAAUCAAUUAUUAACUUCAUAGUUGAUGCAUCUCCAGAGAAACUCCUCACACACAUUUCUUCAAUAAGUACCACAGCUCUCGAUGUCUCAUUGUUAUUGAGAAACCCUCGGAUAAUUGUGUUAUAGGUACAACCAUCUGGAUAACAGCAUUUUUGCUCCAUUUCUCUAAACAACUUUUCUGCUUCAACUAAGAUGCCACCAUUACAAAGUCCCCUGAUCAUUAUAUUGUAUGUCCAUACAUCAGGCAGUACUCCUUUCGAUGACAAACCAGAGAAGACGUCUGUUGCAGAUUCAAUUUUCCCAGCUUUGAACAGAGCUUCAAUGAUAAUAUUGUAAGCUACAAUAUCUGGUUUCAACUUGUUCGCUUCCAUCUCUCUAAGCAAUUCAAUUGCCUUAGAAAGUUGUUGGUUGUUACAGAGGCCAUCAAGUAUAAUAUUAUAAGUACGAUUACUUGGAAGUUGGCCAGAAGCUUGCAUCUCAGAGAACAACUUUUCUGCUUCUUGUUGUCUCCCCGCUUUAUAAAAACCAUCAAUUAGAGUGCUAUAAGUAACGGUAUCAGGAACAAGUCCUCUAAGAGGCAUUUCGUCGAAAAGAUUUUUUGCCUCGUGAAUCUUUUUCUGCUUGCAAUAUCCGUUAAUCAAUAUGUUACAGCUAUGAACAUUAACCAUGGAGCCCUUGGCAACCAUUAGAUCAAAAACUUGUUUCGCCUCGUCCAUUUCUCCUCGCAAACAGUGACCAUCCAUAAGGGAACUGUAUGUAAUCGUGUUAGGUUCAAUUCCUCUUUGAAUCAUAAUCUGAACCACACUUCUGGCUUGCACAACCCUCCCUUCCUUACAAAGGCCAUCAACGAGGAUAUUGAAAGUGAUAAGAUCUGGAAAGAUACCUUGACUCGCCAUUUCAUUCAACAAUCUCCAAGCU
RNAcentral lists this long non-coding RNA (13323 nucleotides) under Fragaria vesca (wild strawberry). RNAcentral describes it as "long non-coding RNA (FVES_LNC001327)". The record is from RNAcentral. Lineage: Eukaryota; Viridiplantae; Streptophyta; Magnoliopsida; Rosales; Rosaceae.